Molecule: ribosomal RNA, 516 nt
Filed under: Arthrobacter sp. ARE23_C
Lineage: Bacteria; Bacillati; Actinomycetota; Actinomycetes; Micrococcales; Micrococcaceae
Description: bacterial SSU rRNA
Rfam family: Bacterial small subunit ribosomal RNA
Source: RNAcentral
CUGGAACAGGUCCCCCGCUUGCGGUCGGUUUACAGGUGGUGCAUGGUUGUCGUCAGCUCGUGUCGUGAGAUGUUGGGUUAAGUCCCGCAACGAGCGCAACCCUCGUUCUAUGUUGCCAGCGCGUGAUGGCGGGGACUCAUAGGAGACUGCCGGGGUCAACUCGGAGGAAGGUGGGGACGACGUCAAAUCAUCAUGCCCCUUAUGUCUUGGGCUUCACGCAUGCUACAAUGGCCGGUACAAAGGGUUGCGAUACUGUGAGGUGGAGCUAAUCCCAAAAAGCCGGUCUCAGUUCGGAUUGGGGUCUGCAACUCGACCCCAUGAAGUCGGAGUCGCUAGUAAUCGCAGAUCAGCAACGCUGCGGUGAAUACGUUCCCGGGCCUUGUACACACCGCCCGUCAAGUCACGAAAGUUGGUAACACCCGAAGCCGGUGGCCUAACCCCUUGUGGGAGGGAGCUGUCGAAGGUGGGACUGGCGAUUGGGACUAAGUCGUAACAAAGUAACCGUAACAUCGAAUU